Molecule: unclassified non-coding RNA, 215 nt
Filed under: soil metagenome
Description: partial contains 5.8S ribosomal RNA, internal transcribed spacer 2, and large subunit ribosomal RNA
Source: RNAcentral
AACGGUCUAUACCUGCGGUACCUGCGGAAGGAUCAUUAUCGAGUUUACAACUCCCAAACCAUUGUGAAUCUUACCUUUUCGUUGCUUCGGCGGGAUCGCCCCGGGCGCUUCGGUGCCCCGGAUUCAGGCGCCCGCCGGGGGACCUAAACUCUUGUAUUAUAGUGGAUUUCUGAGUGGAUUACACAAAUAAUCAAAACUUUCAACAAUGGAUCUCU